AACGAACGCUGGCGGCAUGCCUUACACAUGCAAGUCGAACGGCAGCACGGGUGCUUGCACCUGGUGGCGAGUGGCGAACGGGUGAGUAAUAUAUCGGAACGUGCCCUAGAGUGGGGGAUAACGUAGCGAAAGUUACGCUAAUACCGCAUACGAUCUACGGAUGAAAGUGGGGGAUCGCAAGACCUCAUGCUCCUGGAGCGGCCGAUAUCUGAUUAGCUAGUUGGUGGGGUAAAAGCCUACCAAGGCGACGAUCAGUAGCUGGUCUGAGAGGACGACCAGCCACACUGGGACUGAGACACGGCCCAGACUCCUACGGGAGGCAGCAGUGGGGAAUUUUGGGACAAUGGGGGCAACCCUGAUCCAGCAAUGCCGCGUGAGUGAAGAAGGCCUCGGGUUGUAAGACUCUUUGUCUAGGGAAGAAACGGUAGGGGGCGUAAGUAUCUCUGCUAAUGACGGUACCGU
This 462-nucleotide ribosomal RNA is filed under the name uncultured bacterium. RNAcentral's name for it is "bacterial SSU rRNA". It matches the Rfam family "Bacterial small subunit ribosomal RNA", at positions 29 to 481 of the family's 1533-position model. The record is from RNAcentral.